Molecule: small nuclear RNA, 164 nt
Filed under: Castor canadensis (American beaver)
Lineage: Eukaryota; Metazoa; Chordata; Mammalia; Rodentia; Castoridae
Description: U1 spliceosomal RNA (ENSCCNG00000022370.1)
Rfam family: U1 spliceosomal RNA
About the family: U1 is a small nuclear RNA (snRNA) component of the spliceosome (involved in pre-mRNA splicing). Its 5' end forms complementary base pairs with the 5' splice junction, thus defining the 5' donor site of an intron.
Source: Rfam by way of RNAcentral
AAAUUGACCCAAAAUAUGAGAUAACAUGAUCACAAAGGUGGUUUUCCCAGGGUUAGGCCUAUUCAUUUCACUCCAGAUGUGCUGACCCCUGCAAUUACCUCAAAUGUAGGAAAUUCGACUGCAUAAUUUGUGGUAGUGGGGGACUACAUUCACACUUUCCCCUG